Molecule: ribosomal RNA, 1255 nt
Filed under: Nigidius miwai
Lineage: Eukaryota; Metazoa; Arthropoda; Insecta; Coleoptera; Lucanidae
Description: 16S ribosomal RNA
Rfam family: Bacterial large subunit ribosomal RNA (bases 1022-1180)
Source: RNAcentral
AAUAUUUAUAUAGUAAUUUUAGGAAAAGUAAUUUUAUGUUUAAGUAAUUUUGAUGGGAAAAUUGAUUUUAUUAUAGGGGAGUUUUACAGUGAUGGAUUGAUUAUUAAUUUAUAUAAAGAAUAUUUUAUUUAUAGUACCUUGUGUAUCAGGGUUGAUUAAAUAAUAUGUUAGUAUUAAUUUUUCUCGAAUUUUGAAGAGCUAAAGAGCUAUAAAUUUUAAUGUGGAAUAAUUAUUUAUAAUAGAAUUUUAGGAGUGAAAUUUUAGUCGUUUUAAAAUAUAUCUAGUUUUUUAAGAAAUAAAUUAAAUUUACUAAAUUAGGAGAAUGAUUUUUGUUUGAAAUGAUUUUUAUUAUUUUAGGAAUAUUUACAGGGAUUAGCUUGUAGAUAAAUAUUUAAAGGUGAGGAUAAUAGGAGAAUAUAAUAGGAUUAGAAGUGUUCAUUAUAAGAGUUUGUAAUAAAAAGGUUUUUGUUAAUAGGAUUUAAUUUUUUUUAAGUUAUUUAUUGAAAUGUUUAAGUUAAUUAUAUUUUUGAAGUAAUAAUGAUAAAAUUAGUAUAGUUUUUUGUAUAUUUAGUUUAAUAGCUAAGGUAAUACAAAGGAAUUCGGCAAAUAUGUUUUCUGCCUGUUUAUUAAAAACAUGGUUUUUUGAGAUAAUUUAAGAUUUGACCUGCCCAAUGAGUAGUUAAAUGGCCGCGGUAUUCUGACCGUGCAAAGGUAGCAUAGUCAUUAGUUUUUUAAUUGAAAGCUGGAAUGAAUGGUUUGACAAGAAAAUAGCUGUCUCUGUUUUAAUUUUAUUAGAAUUUUAUUUUUAAGUGAGAAAGCUUAAAUGUUAUUAAGGGACGAGAAGACCCUUUAGAAUUUUAUAUGGAUUUAAAUUGGAAUUUAGAGAAAGAUUUGUUUUUUGUUUAAAUAAAAUAUUUUGUUGGGGUGAUGGAAAAAUUUAGUUAACUUUUUUUUUUAUAUUUUCAUUGAUUAAUGAUUAUUUGAUCCAUAUUUUAUGAUUACAAGAUUAAAUUACCUAAGGGAUAACAGCGUAAUUGAUUCGGAGAGUUCAAAUCGAUGAAUUAGUUUGCGACCUCGAUGUUGGAUUAAAAUAAAUGGUUGGUGUAGGGGCUGAUUAGUUAAGUCUGUUCGACUUUUAAAAUUUUACAUGAUCUGAGUUUAAACCGGCGUGAGCCAGGUUGGUUUCUAUCUUUAAUUGGAUGAGAUAUUUUAGUACGAAAGGAUCAAGUAUCUUCUAAAUUAGGUUUUUUCUGAU